This 502-nucleotide ribosomal RNA is filed under the name uncultured bacterium. Its description in RNAcentral is "partial 16S ribosomal RNA". It matches the Rfam family "Bacterial small subunit ribosomal RNA", at positions 29 to 523 of the family's 1533-position model. The record is from RNAcentral.
AUUGAACGCUGGCGGAAUGCUUUACACAUGCAAGUCGAACGGCAGCACGGGUGCUUGCACCUGGUGGCGAGUGGCGAACGGGUGAGUAAUACAUCGGAACGUACCCAGUCGUGGGGGAUAACGUAGCGAAAGUUACGCUAAUACCGCAUACGUCCUGAGGGAGAAAGCGGGGGACCGUAAGGCCUUGCGCGAUUGGAGCGGCCGAUGGCGGAUUAGCUAGUUGGUGGGGUAAAGGCCUCCCAAGGCGACGAUCCGUAGCGGGUCUGAGAGGACGGCCCGCCACACUGGAACUGAGACGCGGUCCAGACUCCUACGGGAGGCAGCAGUGGGGAAUUUUGGACAAUGGGCGAAAGCCUGAUCCAGCCAUUCCGCGUGAGUGAAGAAGGCCUUCGGGUUGUAAAGCUCUUUCGGCAGGGAAGAAACGGCUUGGGAUAAUACCCCGGGCUAAUGACGGUACCUGAAGAAGAAGCACCGGCUAACUACGUGCCAGCCGCCGCCGUAA